RNAcentral lists this ribosomal RNA (406 nucleotides) under uncultured bacterium. RNAcentral's name for it is "partial 16S ribosomal RNA". It matches the Rfam family "Bacterial small subunit ribosomal RNA", at positions 28 to 526 of the family's 1533-position model. The record is from RNAcentral.
GACGAACGCUGGCGGCGCGCUUAACACAUGCAAGUCGAGCGAAGCGGCGGACGGGUGAGUAACACGUGAGUAACCUGCCUUAGACAUUGGGAUAGCCUCGGGAAACCGGGAUAAAUACCAAAUGGUCUAAGAUGGACUCGCGUCCCAUUAGCUAGUUGGUGGGUAACGGCCCAACAAGGCGACGAUGGGUAGCCGGCCUUGGAGGUUGACCGGCCACAUUGGAACUGAGACACGGUCCAAACUCUACGGGAGGCAGCAGUGGGGAAUAUUGCACAAUGGAUGGAACUCUGAUGCAGCGACGCCUCGUGAACGAAGAAGGCUUUCGAGUCGUAAAGUUCUUUUAUAUGGGAAGCGGUACCAUAAGAAAAAGCCCCGGCUAACUACGUGCCAGCCGCCGCGGUAAUUC